RNAcentral lists this ribosomal RNA (745 nucleotides) under Helotiales sp. SC4-1. RNAcentral describes it as "eukaryotic LSU rRNA". The stretch from base 402 to 555 matches the Rfam family "5.8S ribosomal RNA". RNAcentral also lists the same sequence under 1 other name. Lineage: Eukaryota; Fungi; Ascomycota; Leotiomycetes; Helotiales. The record is from RNAcentral.
AAGUCGUAACAAGGUUUCCACAGUUGGCAUCACCUACUGAAGCCUUGAAUCUCAGUCUUUUUAGGCAACACCUUUACUGUGCUUGGAUACCUAAAGGUAACAAGCAGCUGCUGAUGCAGUUCACAGAUCAAACAAAGGUGGUCCCCUGGGAAACCCAGAGGAUUGAAAUAUGACCGGCCUACUCCUGAAAUUUUAGUAGACCUUGUGUUCCGUAGGUGAACCUGCGGAAGGAUCAUUACAGAGAUAAUAUACUCUCUGGAGUAUGUCUCCCACCCUUUGUUUACAAUACUUCAGUUGCUUUGGCAGGCCUGUCAUACGGCUACCGGCUACGCUGGUCAGUGCCUGCCAGAGAACCCCAAACUCACUGUAAUUUGUCGUCUGAGUCCUAUAAAAUAAGUUAAAACUUUCAACAACGGAUCUCUUGGUUCUGGCAUCGAUGAAGAACGCAGCGAAAUGCGAUAAGUAAUGUGAAUUGCAGAAUUCAGUGAAUCAUCGAAUCUUUGAACGCACAUUGCACCUUCUGGUAUUCCGGGAGGUAUGCCUGUUCGAGCGUCAUUACAACCCUCAAGCUCCAAGCUUGGUAUUGGAUGCCACAAAUAUGGUGCAUCUCAAAAGCAGUGGCGGUGCCAUUCAGCUCCAAGCGCAGUAAAUUCCUCGCUCUGGAGUCUGGGUGCUGUGCCAGCCAGAACCCCCUAACAUUUCAAAGGUUGACCUCGGAUCAGGUAGGGAUACCCGCUGAACUUAA